UGCCAGCCGCCGCGGUAAUACAGAGGGUGCAAGCGUUGUUCGGAAUCACUGGGCGUAAAGCGCGCGUAGGCUGUUUCGUAAGUCAGAUGUGAAAGCCCACGGCUCAACCGUGGAAGUGCAUCUGAAACUGCGUGACUUGAAUCUUGGAGAGGGUGGUAGAAUUCCUGGUGUAGAGGUGAAAUUCGUAGAUAUCAGGAGGAAUACCGGUGGCGAAGGCGACCACCUGGACAGUGACUGACACUGAGGUGCGAAAGCGUGGGGAGCAAACAGGAUUAGAUA
RNAcentral lists this ribosomal RNA (279 nucleotides) under uncultured bacterium. Its description in RNAcentral is "partial 16S ribosomal RNA". It matches the Rfam family "Bacterial small subunit ribosomal RNA", at positions 506 to 784 of the family's 1533-position model. The record is from RNAcentral.